AAGAAAUGUAUAAACCAGCAGAUAAAACAUUUUGGGCAUUCAGAUUAAAAAAUAAACAUACAAUUCUCUAAAAGUGAAAAACAAUGUAAGGUGUUUCAGAGGAGAGUGGGUGACUAUUGGGGACAUUAGAACAUGCUCUGCUAAAAAAAACAACAAUGAAAAUGAGCUGAUAGACAUCAUAGUCAUCCUUGUAAAGGGCCUGAUUCUGCAGCCUUUCCUCAUGCUAGCAGUCUUCACUUAUGAGGAAACCUAGGGCUAGAACCUGAAUCUGUGGGUACCUGGUGACUGCUAUAUCCAAAUUGCAUCCCUCCAGCUCUGAAAAGGCAGAGAUCAAUGGAAUCUGAACAGCACUGAUCUUCCACUCCUGAAACUCACGUACCAGAGACUGAUAAUCAUGUCGGAUUGUGCACAUCAUCUCUAAUGUACACAAAGGAGAAUUAGGCCACUAGUGUCAAUGUAUUUAAACAUGCACGAGGAUUUGAAG
Molecule: non-coding RNA, 484 nt
Organism: Pelodiscus sinensis (Chinese soft-shelled turtle)
Lineage: Eukaryota; Metazoa; Chordata; Testudines; Trionychidae
Source: RefSeq, a predicted model, not a curated record